Amaranthus tricolor (Joseph's coat) is the source of this 1091-nucleotide long non-coding RNA. RefSeq lists it as uncharacterized. NCBI's taxonomy places the organism in Eukaryota, Viridiplantae, Streptophyta, Magnoliopsida, Caryophyllales, Amaranthaceae. The transcript is spliced from 6 exons. The record is from RefSeq and is a predicted model, not a curated record.
AUUGGGCCGGCCCAUUUGAGACGUGUCUCACUGUCUCUUAUAAAGACGAUCUCAAAUAAAAAUUAAGUUUUAAAGAAUAAAUAAUAAUGGCAUACUCGUCCUUUUUUUCUCUUAGAAACGAGUCGAGUAUAAAACUUGGCUGUACUCCAUCACUAUUCUCCAUUUCUACCGCUUCACUAUCGCCAUCAAGUUUCACAAAUUCAAGAAUUAAUCACUUCUCCUUCGAAUUUGAACGGUUUUCGGUAGAAGAGACUCGUAAUCUGCUUCGGCUAUGUCGGUUCCAACUAAAGAGUGUUUCGCUGUUGUGUGUGUGUAAGUUUGCAAGUUUGCAGUUUUUGCGGUUUGAGAAACUACGGGAGGAUAACAUUUGCGGAAAGUAUUCAUUGUGCUAUCAAUCAGGAACCUUUUCUACCUGACAAUCUUGCUACAGCUCCUUAGAAUGAAUCCAUCAUUUUCGGCAUUCGAUGCGCAUGAGUCUGCUACAGAAACAAAGUGACAUUGAAGGACCUUAACCAUUCCAUCAGAAUUUGCAAAGUUGCAAGACAACAGACUCUCCUUAUUGAAUGGAGAUUCUCCAAAUGCUUAUCUUUCCUAGAUCCAGCCAUACACAUACACAGCCACAACCAAAAUUUAUGAAUCAAAGAAAAGAACCUUCUAGUCAUGGGGGCGGUGGUGUUUGGUUUGUGAAAAGACGUUUUCCCAGGAUGCUUAGACGGCACAAGAUUACUCAAAACCAUGCACACAGUGUAGAGAGGACCCACAAUUAAUGGAGAUCUAAUUCUUGGCUUAACUUUGCUGAUUAAAGCUACAAACAAAAUCACAAAACCAUUGUAAUAAAUAUCAAAUCAAAAUAGAUAAUUCUGGUUUCUCGGAUUUGUCAAUGGUAUUAAUUAUUGUGAUGUAACAAUGUGAACAUCAUUUUUUUUCCUUCACUAAAUGAUGAGAAGCAACUAUAAUUGUCAAGCUAGGACUCAAUCAGGUGUUCACUGCUGCAUUAAUUAUGUGGCUAACAAUGAUCCUAAUUGCUCCCUCCGUUAUAAAAGUUUUUAUUUGCCAUUUUUUUGUGCUUCAAUUGUUAUUCUCAUAAACAA